This 1514-nucleotide long non-coding RNA is filed under the name Heterocephalus glaber (naked mole-rat). RNAcentral describes it as "lncRNA (ENSHGLG00000034490.1)". Lineage: Eukaryota; Metazoa; Chordata; Mammalia; Rodentia; Bathyergidae. The record is from RNAcentral.
GGCCUUUUCCACCCUUGAAAAGGACCCAGGUGGAGAGGCACCAGACAUCUUCACUCCCAAGUCAUCCUUCUAAAGGCCAGCUGAUCUGGGAAUAGACUAAACUAUUGUCGGACAUUUAAUUUUCAAGGAGAGAGCAAAGUGGCCGGGAGACUUUAAAAAUUGCUCUCAGCUUUAUGUGCAACUGCCUGUCUGGCUGGAGGUCACCACCAAACCCCACGUCUGUGAAGACUCCUGGGCUUAAAGGUGCAGGCAGAGCAUUUUUUCCUGGAGCUGAAGAAAAUUGCAAAGCUGAUCCUGCUUUCUUCAGAAUGGACUCAGCUCUACAACAGAACUCCAGUCCUUAUUUACCGGCAGGCUUGUGGCCGGCCAGGCCCCUCCAAUGGCCUUACCACUAACAGAGAACAAUGCAGAGAACAAGGUAUCAUCCCUAGAAGGAUUCCCUGCAAAGUCCUGGCAUAUUACUCCUGACAGCUUAGAGUUACAGAAAGACACAGCUCCACAUAAAUACCUGGUCUUGAAAAUUGCUGUUUCGCCAGAAGCAGACAUGGCCAAAGUAGCCACAAAAUGUGUUUAAGCAUAGGCUGUGCCAAACUCACGGGGCUAUGACAGAAUAAUACUAAUAUUGAUUGGACAUCCAUUAUGUCACACACUCUCUAUUUGUUCUUCUACAUCUACAGCAGCUCUGCAAAGGAGGAAUUAUGACACCAUGGCUGUCAGUAUGACACAAUGGCCAAGGCUUCUGGGACCAAAGCCAGUAGAUGAGGUUUGAAUUCUACUUGUGCCUCUUAUUAGCUGGGCAACUGUUAUGCCUUAUAUCUAGAAUGUCCCCAAAAGCCUCCUGUCCUCAGAGGUGGGGAUUUUUGAGGGAGAUUGGAUCGUGGGUGCUUCCAUUGCUGAGGUCAGGUCUGUCGCUGAGCAUGCUGACAGGACAGGGGGCCUGGGUGGAGCUGAGUCACUGGGGUGUCACCCAGAAGGCUGUCUCUGCCUCCUUGGCUCCUCCCUCCUCACGCUGUCUCUUGGCCACCCUGAUGUGAGCAGCUUUCUUCUCUGCCCCUCUGCUGUGCAACGUCUACCUUGUGGACAGCUGACCGUGGGCAGAAAAUGUGAGCCCAUAAACCUUCCUCCUUUAAGUUAUAGGUGCCGGGUAUUUUCUCCCAAAGACGAGAAAGCAACUAAGGUGGCGACGUUGAACAAGUCACUGAAUCUCGCUCUGCCUAAGCAUCCUCAGCAUUGCCAUGGAGAUGGUUAUUGUGCCAACUUCAUAGGACUGCAGGGAGUUCCCUUGGACCAGGAGGUAGCUCCAGAACAGAACAUCAGUUGUUCUGAGUCCAACCAAGCACAACCACAGAGAGAGGAGAGGCCCCCAAGAAUAAGAAUGGUUCCCAAAGUCACACAGCUGGUGAGAGGCAAACGCAAAUGACCAGAAGACUCAGAGCUGCCUGGUGGAGCUGGCGUGCCACGAGCCGGGAGCAGUCGCACUUCUGCCAGCUUGGCUCGCAGGCAGCAGUGCCCUG